This is a long non-coding RNA of Girardinichthys multiradiatus, 1355 nucleotides long. RefSeq lists it as uncharacterized. The record is from RefSeq and is a predicted model, not a curated record. The transcript has 3 exons. Lineage: Eukaryota; Metazoa; Chordata; Actinopteri; Cyprinodontiformes; Goodeidae.
UGAGGACCAGGGAGGGUAAACACUGCUUUAUAUGAACUAGUUCUAAACCAGUGCUGACUAAAGUCAGUCCUCGAGGGCUGGUAUCCUGCAUCUGUUAGUUCUUUCCCUGGUUCAGCACACCUGAAUCAAAUGAUGGUUCAUUAGCAGGCCUCUGCAGAACUGUGUGACAUGCUGAGAAGGACAUUGGAGCAGAGACAUCUGGCACCGGACACCACCCCAUGAAGACUGGAGCAUGUUCUGCACUCUGUUUAGCCAGCCUGAUUUCAAAUCCAAAGACCUUGGCCACAGCAAGCAGCCAACAAGUCGGCACGACCUUCCAGCUGAAACAGCUGCUGUUUGUGCCAAGAUUUCCUUAUCAGCCAAGCCAAGAGACAUGAAUGUGGAAAAUGCAGGAGCAGAGAAGUCCAGCUAGUUCUGAUUCACAUUUCCCCUACCAGUUUUUUUCAGCUUUAACAUGCAUCGCCUCCAAACACCCUGCAGAUGUUUUAAGAAACCACACUCAGACAGGAAUUCUCCGUACUUGUCACCGCAGCCAAUGACGCCUUUUCCAGAUGUGUGUGAAUAACCCCUGAGCCCAACAUGAGCUCCCAGAACAUCUGUAAAACUCAGCUCUUCCCUGUGGGGCGUCACCCUCCACUCCUCCCUCACUUUUCUAAAUGUUUCUGUCCAACCUCCAUCUCUUUCUUUUUUCUAGCCGCUCUGAGUCGAUGUGGGGAGAGCAGUGGAAAGUUAAUAAGUCUCGGUGGAUUGAAAAUCAGUCAGUGAAACUAAGAUGCUCCCAUUUUAAUGUUGGGACAUCUGGAUGGUCAUGUUUUUCUCAAGGUUUUUCACAUAAAGACAGAAUUAAACAAAAACCAAGACAGUUAAAAGAGGUAAAUAUUGUGAGUAUUGUAUAAAAGGUUAAAACCAGCUUCUUUGUUCUGCUUCCAGGAAGCCAGGGUUUGUUUUGUUUUAAGGUGGUGUUUGCAAUCUUUUUAGGUGAUCUUGAUCAAAACUCCUCCAAGCUUCCAGUCAGACCAUGAGAGCGUAAUGCCCUAAAACAUGAAAUCAACAAGUUUCAAAUAAAAUAAGUCUCCAGCCUGAAAAAGCUACUUAUGGCAAAUGAACAGUAUCUAUAGGUCAACUUCUUAAGAAAAAUAAAGAGAUGCAUCAUCCUUCAGUUGACAAUUUAUAGUAGGCCAAGUUUUAUCUAAUUGAAGGAAAGGAAAUAACUGUGCUGCCACUAAAAUCUUGAUUUCCAUUAGUCAAGGAUUUCUGAAUUUAUCUAGAAUUUUUACUGAUGUCAGACCUCUGACUUGCAAGUCUAGGUCCUUGAGCAGCGCUUGAAAGUUGCAGGAAUAAACUGUUUAUUUGCA